CGGCCGCCGCCGGAACCUGCAAGGGAAGUCUAAACCGGAGUUGGGGGUGCUCCGGCAAGACCCUCCGACGCUCAAGUCAGUACUCUGCUUCAACAGAAAUGGAGUGCUCGAGGAAAAAUUUUAGCAGAGUUUUGAGAUAGAGAUCAGAGCUUAGAGAAGAACGUAUCCGAGGGUCCUUAUUUAUAGACGGAGAGUGUAACCGAUUGACAGCUACGUCUGUAACCGUCUGGUAGUGGGCUGUUCAGAGCCGUUUGGAGUUUGUUACGGAGAGUAGUGGCAUCAGGGGUCGUUCAGGACCACGUGGAGUUGGUUACGGAGAGUGGAGUGGUGGCCGUUGUCGCGACUUGCCAGAGAGUAGUGGAGCCACAUGGAAUCCGUUGCAGAGUGGAGCAGGGUAGCGGCCCUCGUCGUGGCUUGCCAAAGAGUUCGGAUCUGUCAGCUGAAGCUCGGCUGGGAUGUCUGAUGGAGCGGAAUGGCUCUCUGUCUCGUCGAUCCAGGAGAAGCUCGGACGUUUUCGAGAUCGCUGACGAGUCUACUAUGGUCGGAGGCCUUGGGCACUGAGGUUACAGGUGAUAACCAUCUGCUGUAGAGACUCGGAUGAAGACUUUCAGUUGGCGAAGUCCGAUAGGAGCCUAAUUGCUAGGGAAGUCCAUCUGGGAUCUGGCUAUGAAGAAGCCUGGCUGAAGUCUACCUGUACUGGAAGUUCGGAAGAAAUCUGUUUACAGUAGAGGCCCGAAUGGAAUUUGCUUACAGUAGAGAUCCGGGGUAGAUCGCCCGCUGUAGGGGUUCGGAGUAGACCGCUCGUGGCAGGAGUUCGGAGAAGACCACUCGUAGUAGAAGCUUGGCUCUCGCAGGAGCUCGGCUGGAACUGCUCGUAGUAGAAGCUCGGAGUAGAUCGCUCGGCUUUGGGGACGGCUCGGU
RNAcentral lists this long non-coding RNA (921 nucleotides) under Elaeis guineensis (African oil palm). RNAcentral describes it as "long non-coding RNA (EGUI_LNC072835)". The record is from RNAcentral. Lineage: Eukaryota; Viridiplantae; Streptophyta; Magnoliopsida; Arecales; Arecaceae.